CUUGGUCAUUUAGAGGAAGUAAAAGUCAUAACAAGGUUUCCGUAGGUGAACCUGCGGAAGGAUCAUUAAUAAUGCUCUCUGGCUUCGGUCAGUUGAGUUCAAUGAGUGCCUUCUCUUCGGAGUUGGCCAUCCAUACACACCGUGAACUGUGGCUUCGGCCAUCACAAACUGUUAGUAAUGAAUGUAAUAUCAUAACAAAAACAAAACUUUUAACAACGGAUCUCUUGGCUCUCGCAUCGAUGAAGAACGCAGCGAAAUGCGAUAAGUAAUGUGAAUUGCAGAAUUCAGUGAAUCAUCGAAUCUUUGAACGCACCUUGCGCCCUUUGGUAUUCCGAAGGGCAUGCCUGUUUGAGUGUCAUGAAACCUCACCCCACUUGGGUUUUUGCCUGAGCGGUGGUGUAUUGGGUGUUGCCUUGCCAAAGGCUCGCCUUAAAAACAUAAGCACCUUGGAUGUAAUACGUUUCAUCCUUCUGGGUGGCUGAUAACCCCACAUAUUCAUGAUCUGGCCUCAAAUCAGGUAGGGCUACCCGCUGAACUUAAGCAUAUCAAUAAGCGGAGGA
This 560-nucleotide ribosomal RNA is filed under the name Cryptococcus sp. FA-8A. Its description in RNAcentral is "eukaryotic LSU rRNA". The stretch from base 205 to 358 matches the Rfam family "5.8S ribosomal RNA". Lineage: Eukaryota; Fungi; Basidiomycota; Tremellomycetes; Tremellales; Cryptococcaceae. The record is from RNAcentral. RNAcentral also lists the same sequence under 1 other name.